Molecule: long non-coding RNA, 289 nt
Filed under: Mus spicilegus (steppe mouse)
Lineage: Eukaryota; Metazoa; Chordata; Mammalia; Rodentia; Muridae
Description: lncRNA (ENSMSIG00000022734.1)
Source: RNAcentral
GUUUACAAGUCCUUCUGUGCAGAGCUGAAGGCUCUCCUGUUCCAGGACUCAUCUGAGUCUAUGCUGCUAUAGCCCAGAAGAUGAAGAUCUUGGAAUUCCAAAUAGGACCUCUUUAAAUUCUAAAAAACCCUACACCCACCCAGAUCAUCUGUCACCAGGACUGUUGGCAUGUGAUGACAUGAAGAAUAAAGAGGAAAACUCAUUGUUCACUCAUUUUCCAUUGCCAAGAUAUAUUAAUAUGCCAAGACAAUUGCCCAUAGGCAAUUUCAUCUGCAGUUGAGCUACUUGA